RNAcentral lists this ribosomal RNA (334 nucleotides) under Enterobacteriaceae bacterium. RNAcentral's name for it is "bacterial SSU rRNA". It matches the Rfam family "Bacterial small subunit ribosomal RNA", at positions 384 to 710 of the family's 1533-position model. The record is from RNAcentral. Lineage: Bacteria; Pseudomonadati; Pseudomonadota; Gammaproteobacteria; Enterobacterales; Enterobacteriaceae.
UGAUGCAGCCAUGCCGCGUGUAUGAAGAAGGCCUUCGGGUUGUAAAGUACUUUCAGCGGGGAGGAAGGGAGUAAAGUUAAUACCUUUACUCAUUGACGUUACCCGCAGAAGAAGCACCGGCUAACUCCGUGCCAGCAGCCGCGGUAAUACGGAGGGUGCAAGCGUUAAUCGGAAUUACUGGGCGUAAAGCGCACGCAGGCGGUUUGUUAAGUCAGAUGUGAAAUCCCCGGGCUCAACCUGGGAACUGCAUCUGAUACUGGCAAGCUUGAGUCUCGUAGAGGGGGGUAGAAUUCCAGGUGUAGCGGUGAAAUGCGUAGAGAUCUGGAGGAAUACC